Molecule: long non-coding RNA, 1021 nt
Organism: Triticum dicoccoides
Lineage: Eukaryota; Viridiplantae; Streptophyta; Magnoliopsida; Poales; Poaceae
Exons: 4
Source: RefSeq, a predicted model, not a curated record
UCACCAAAGAAAGCCCUCGGUCCAGCUGCGUGAGAGGAAAAGGAGCUGGCCGACAUCGCCGGCGGGAGGAGGACAAAAUGCUGCUGGCGGAGAUGCCGCACCUUGUUCCGGGCCACAUUUCUGCCAGCACAGGAAGGAGGAGGCCGACGGCGAUCACAGCAGGCCAAGGCGCCACUCCACGCCGACGGACGGCUUGGCGGCCGCGCGAGGCCGUCCGGGUGGGGCGCGAGAGCUUCAGAGCAAAAUACACAGACUCUUUUGGAGGUGGAAGUGAUAUAUCUCCAUUCUCCAGAAAGGACACAAUUGAUGACACGAGUGGCCGCGCAUUUGGGCUGUCUUGAACACACAAAAGUCCAAUAUGGAUGCACCGUAUAGUUUCAUCAGAUGCUCACAGUGCAUUUCUUCCAUCAAAAUGUAUGACUCGGAAAUGAUUUUUUGCACCGGAGGAGGUGAAAGCUCUGAGAUUGCAAGGCUGGAGCAACUCUGUAUAAUUUGCACACAUGGGUAGCACUGUAGCAAAUCAGAGGUAGAUUCAGCAGGUAUUCUUAUGCUUGACUAAUCGGGACACCUAUGUGCAAGUGAUCAUCUGGCCUUGUUUUGCCGAGUCAUCUGGCACUAGAACUACCACUUGCUUUUUACAGUGAAUGUUCAGGGUACUGAUCUCUUUUUGAGUAGUGUAAAACUGAUAACCAUGUUCAUCUGGCACUGCAGCCAUGUCAUAGCCGACUCUCUAGCUUCAGAGAUCGUUUUUGGCAACAGGCAUGGUUUUACUGCUGACUGGCUGGGGGUUCAUGGUUGUCGGCGUCUUGUUAUUCUAGCCUAAGGAGACUUUGUUUUGUCGCCCCUAGUAAUUCUGUACUACCUACGUCGUGUAGUCGGUUCAUCUUGUAGCGAUUUAGGAAGAUGUUUUUCUUCCUUCUUGUAGAAGCGUAACGUUUUUUCCUGCCUGGAUGUAUCUCUGCUGCAUCGGUGUUUCAUGUGUCGUUUUAAUAUCUUGUGAAUGAAAAAAAUGUUUUAUGAA